AGUGAAGCUCUUUUUGAUGCCGUGUGUGCAAACGAUGUCAAGAAAGCAUCGGCGGCUCUCGAGAAAGGAGCAGAUGUGAACGAAGUAGGAAAAGAGUGGGAGACUACGGUAGUGUGUAUGGUCUUCCAUCAGCGUUGCAAGUAGGAUGUGCUGAUUCAUCAAUUGACUUGGUGGAUUUACUGCUACAAUAUCUAGUAAACGUCAACUCUCCAUGAGGAUGGGGUGCUAUUGAUCAUCUCGGUUCAACUGUUAAGGCUGAUUAUGAAGUUGCUAUGAAAAAGGGGAAGUUACAAUAAUGCAAGGGAACAUUGACAUGUUUGGUGAAGAAGCAGGCAAGACGACAUUGGGAGAUGCUUUUCUAGGUCAGCCAUUUAUAGAGAAGAGGGAAAGUACAGUAGGAGCAAAUGUACAAGUGAUGAGAACAGGAGGCGGUCCAAACACAAACUGGAAGGAACUGAAACCAAAAGAGAAAGAAGAGAUCAUUGAUCAAGUUCUUGUCAGAGGCUUUCUUGCAUCUGUUGAAAGCCGGCAACAAAUUGAGUCAACAGAGGAGACAAAAAUGACAAGCCAAGAACAGCAGAAACACCAUGCAGCCAGCAGGUACGUAGUACUAACACGGGAGCUUUACCAACUGUCAGACAAGCAACUAGUAAAGAGGGCAACACGACAAAGUUAGGAAGCUACUACGCGAUUUGUUGUUUCUAAAGAGUUAACCGAGGAGCAAGCAAAGUUAGCAGAGGAACUGCGUCGUGACAAGGCUGCAUUGGAAAAAAGUGAACAGAUGAUGUUGAUCACAGUGUGUGAUUGCGGUGGUCAAGAGCAGUUUCUGAUGACACACGCAGCAUUGAUGGCAGACAACAGUCAGCACAGUGCAACCACUUACAUGAUAGUGAUGGAUGGAACAAAGAGUCUUGCAGAUCCCAUACGUCAAUGUUUGUUCCGACCAGAACAAGGAAUCAAGCAGGUGGUCUUGCCACGUUUGGCCCUACGACGAGAUGUCCGUUGUUGGCUUAUUACGUGAAUGCCAUUAAGAUGGCACAUCCAGUAGUGGGCUGUGGUCCUUUUCUUGGUGAGGGCUUUAUUGAUCAAGCACCAGUUACAUUCCCCAUGUCGACAAGACAAAACAAAACAAAGGACAUGGAUCCAAAAUUCUUAGAUGAACAAGAAGAAAUAUUGCAAGACAUUGUGCAGAAGAACGAUUAAGUUUGCUGGUUGCAUGAUGUUGGCAGAGGAAAACCCGAAUAAACUGACUUUUCGUGUUGACAACACACGAUCAGGCACUGGCAGUCCACAUCUGGUGCUAUUGAAGGUGAAGGAGAUAUUUGUAGCAGUGGUGCGGUCACUGUGGAGUCAACGAGAUGCUAUUCCUUUGCCGUGGGAAGUUCUUGAUAAAUUGUUGGGCAGGGUGUCUCAACUGGAUGACAACAAAGGCAAAAUACCCGACAUUGAAGAAGUGUGCGAGUUGGCUUGAAACUUCUGUGACAUUAUGACACGAAGAGAAUGUUGAUCGGCACUGCAAUAUUUAUCAAGUUUGAGCACAAUUGCAUUUUAUUCUGAUGUGAGUGAGUUAAAAAAAGGUCUUUACUGAUCGGCAGUGGCUAUUCAAUGUUCUCAAUGUUUUUGUCACCAUUCUCGAUAAGAGCUAUGUGCCGCUAUGCUUCUGGACGUUCUGAAGAAAUUGAAAGAAGAAGGAAUGAUGUCAUGGUCAUUGGCUCACUAUCUGCUGCUGCAGAAAGGUGUCAAGGAAAGUCAGUUUGAGUCCAUUUUGUAUCUGCUGCAUCUAUUCGACGUCAUCUGUCCUAUGAUCACACCAUUGGAGAUGCUGAAGGUUGGACAGUCAUUCUUUGUUCCUUGCUUGCUGAAACAGAAAUAUGAUAUCAAGUUGGCAUGGCAACAGCUGGCCGGCUCCACUCAAUUUCCUCCCUUUUUCAUAUUUUGUCCUGAUGGUUUGACACAACUGCCGAGCCGAUCUUUUUUUGCUUGGUAUCUUGUUGUGUCACUGAAUAUGCACAUUCUUGUCCCAAACUGAAACGAGGUCAUGCUGUCUUUCAUGUGGAUGAUGAUCUUGAGCUUUAUCUGGAACUGGUUUACCAUAAACUGACAUUACAUUAUUGCUACAGUAUGUUCUCCUCGUCAAGUUUUUUCUCUUGAUGAGCUGAAACAUCAAUGUAGCAUCAUUCGUCAGUUUCUUAUUCAUCAGCUCAAUGAGGCCAAGAAACGAGGAUUGGAUGGCUUCAAGUUCACUGUAUGCGUUAUUCUUCCCUCAAGUGAAGCUGAAGAUGCCCAAUCGAUAGAUAAUGAUUCUUUGGUGUGCAUUGAUAAAUAUCCAUCUCAACGGGGUUUGAUAAACCAGAGGAAUGAUUGUGUGUCAUGAGAGCAAUUUCCCACUUUUGAUAUCUGGUUUAGUGACUCAAGAGAAAGUUUAGAUAUUGAAACUGGAAGUGAUAGACAACAACAAGAUGAACGAACAACGAUUCAGAAAGUGAAUCUGCUCAUUCAAGUGUGUUGACAUCCAGAGUGUGUCAACAGUCACAACUGUCUAAUCUUGAUGACAUGUUGAGUCUUAAGCUGUUAGUGAAAGUUGCUCGUGAAGUAUCUCACAGAUGGCAAGAAUUCGGGACCGUCUUUCAGCAUAUAUGUUUCCUGCAAAGAGAAUGACGUUAUCACUGAUAAAUACACAGAACCAUUUUUUGUGUGCUCAAGCCAUGUUAGAAGAAUGGAGAGAGGCAAUGGACAGAGAAGCUACUUGUGACUUGGUUGUUCAAACACUCUUGGAGAUGGUUUUGAGGAAGGAGGCAUGUAAUAUAUUUGGGUAUGAUGUAGUAGAACUUAUUUAUGCAAACAAAUCAUCUGUCACGUGACUUUAAUCUAGUGACUGGAAAUCAGUUUCGACCUUUGUGUAAUAGUUUUAGAUUUAUUUGUAAAUGCGCUGUAAAUAGUAUAGCAAUGUGGUGUCAAUCGAAUUGAACAAAAAUAUUUGUAAACAAUAGUUUAUCGAGAUUCUGUCAACAUGAUUCUGCAAUUGUUUAGUCCGUUUUCUGC
This is a long non-coding RNA of Corticium candelabrum, 3042 nucleotides long. RefSeq lists it as uncharacterized. Lineage: Eukaryota; Metazoa; Porifera; Homoscleromorpha; Homosclerophorida; Plakinidae. The record is from RefSeq and is a predicted model, not a curated record. The transcript has 5 exons.